RNAcentral lists this ribosomal RNA (253 nucleotides) under uncultured bacterium. Its description in RNAcentral is "partial 16S ribosomal RNA". It matches the Rfam family "Bacterial small subunit ribosomal RNA", at positions 524 to 776 of the family's 1533-position model. The record is from RNAcentral.
UACGUAGGGCGCAAGCGUUAUCCGGAAUUAUUGGGCGUAAAGAGCUGGUAGGGGGUUUUUGGGGUCGGCCGUGAAAGUCCGGGGCUCAACUCCGGAUCUGCGGUGGGUACGGGCAGACUAGAGUGAUGUAGGGGAGACUGGAAUUCCUGGUGUAGCGGUGAAAUGCGCAGAUAUCAGGAGGAACACCGGUGGCGAAGGCGGGUCUCUGGGCAACAACUGACGCUGAGGAGCGAAAGCGUGGGGAGCGAACAGG